AGAGUUUGAUCCUGGCUCAGGACGAACGCUGGCGGUGUGCUUAAUACAUGCAAGUCGAACGAUGAGGCCCUUCGGGGUACAUCAGUGGCGGACGGCUGAGUAACGCGUAGAUAACGUGCCCUGGACUGGGGGAUAACACCGGGAAGCCGGUGCUAAUACCGCAUAAGUUGCUGGUUGAAAUACUGGUAAUUAAAGAAUUUCGGUUCAGGAUCGGUCUGCGUCUGAUUAGCUAGUUGGUAGGGUAAAGGCCUACCAAGGCAAUGAUCAGUAGUUGGUCUGAGAGGAUGACCAGCCAGAGUGGGACUGAGACACGGCCCACACUUCUACGGAAGGCAGCAGUAGGGAAUUUUGCGCAAUGGGCGAAAGCCUGACGCAGCAACACCGCGUGCGGGAUGACGGUCUUCGGAUUGUAAACCGCUGUCAGCAGGGAAUAUAAUGACUGUACCUGCAAAGGAAGCAUCGGCUAACUACGUGCCAGCAGCCGCGGUAAUACGUAGGAUGCAAGCGUUGUCCGGAAUUA
Molecule: ribosomal RNA, 520 nt
Filed under: uncultured bacterium
Lineage: Bacteria
Description: bacterial SSU rRNA
Rfam family: Bacterial small subunit ribosomal RNA
Source: RNAcentral